Molecule: ribosomal RNA, 611 nt
Filed under: uncultured eukaryote
Lineage: Eukaryota
Description: SSU rRNA
Rfam family: Eukaryotic small subunit ribosomal RNA
Source: RNAcentral
CCAGCUCCAAUAGCGUAUAUUAAAGUUGUUGCAGUUAAAAGGUUCGUAGUUGAAUUUCUGAGCGCGACGGCGGUCCGCCUUCGGGUGUGCACUUGCUCGUUCGCGUUCAAACCUUGUGGAGAAGGCGUGUGGCCUUUACUGGUUGUGCGUUCGGAUCCACAUCAAUUACUGUGAGCAAAUUAGGGUGUUUAAAGCGGGCAUUUCGCUUGAAUACAUUAGCAUGGAAUAAUGAGAUAGGACUUUGGUGCUAUUUCGUUGGUUGCGUGCCAAAGUAAUGAUUAAUAGGGACAGUUGGGGGUAUUCAUAUUUGAUUGUCAGAGGUGAAAUUCUUGGAUUUAUCAAAGAUGAACAACUGCGAAAGCAUUUACCAAGGAUGUUUUCAUUAAUCAAGAUCGAAAGUCAGGGGAUCGAAGAGGAUUAGAUACCCUCGUAGUCUUGACCAUAAACUAUGCCGACUCAGGAUUGGCGGUGCUCUUCAAUGUCUCCGCCAGCACUGUAUGAUAAAUCAAAGUCUUUGGGUUCCGGGGGGAGUAUGGUCGCAAGGCUGAAACUUAAAGGAAUUGACGGAAGGGCACACCAGGAGUGGAGCCUGCGGCUUAAUUCGACUCAAC